Long non-coding RNA from Passer domesticus (house sparrow), 501 nucleotides. RefSeq lists it as uncharacterized. The record is from RefSeq and is a predicted model, not a curated record. NCBI's taxonomy places the organism in Eukaryota, Metazoa, Chordata, Aves, Passeriformes, Passeridae. The transcript has 4 exons.
CCUGCGCGUCGUCCCUGUGCCAGGGCAUGCUUGAGCUCAGCCUGCGGGCUGUACUCUUAUGUUUAAGAGCUGUGAUUUUGUCAUGAUCUUCUGCUGGAAGUCCUGACUCUCCAGAGCUCUGCUCCUGGCUCAGAGGCUUUACCCCAGUGACUGAUAAGAACCCAAGUGGACAGGCCAGGUACAGCAAGUCCAAGGCUGCAGGCAGCUCAGGUGCCUUUCCCCUCAAGUGACACAGAGAACCCAGCUGGAGUUUGCACACAGAAUUGACAGCAGUUGGAACAGAAGCUUCGUUUGGCUGUGGAAGGAGCUUUGCAGUAGCCACUGUCCUGAAACAAUUAGGGCAGGUCCCACCAGGGGCUGAGGCUUCUCUCCCUCACCUCAGUAGGAGCUGGGAGAUCUCCUGUGGGCUGGUUCUGCCAAACCUCACAUGAGCUGAGCGGCACCAGCACCAGGAGGAGCUCAGCACAUUUUAAGAGGGGCUGCACAAGGGCGUGAAGUCAC